RNAcentral lists this ribosomal RNA (1008 nucleotides) under Triticum aestivum (bread wheat). Its description in RNAcentral is "partial small subunit ribosomal RNA". Lineage: Eukaryota; Viridiplantae; Streptophyta; Magnoliopsida; Poales; Poaceae. The record is from RNAcentral.
AUGAUUGGUGCUUUUUGGAAUAUUAGGGGCCUAAAUGGGUCCUGUAAAAGCACCAGACUGCAGGAGCUUAUUAAAGCUACUUGACCUGAUUUUAUUUGCAUCUCUGAGACUAAGAAAGCUAAUUUUACUCUUCCUCAACUAGAUGCCAUUGAUACUAAAAGUGGUUUCUGGUGGAACUGGCUCCCUACUAUCAAUACAGCAGGGGGGAUUCUAGUUGGUGUUAAGGAAGAUAUUUUUCAUAUAGUUAACUGCAAUGUUAAAUCUUAUUGUAUUUCUUGUAUUUUGAAAUGUAAGCACAAUAACACUGUGUGGAGACUGGUAGCAGUAUAUGGGACUGCUUAUGAGGAACAUAAGCUUGACUUUAUUAAUGAGUUGCAUUCUAUUUUAGCUAGCUGGUUUGGACCUACUUUAGUGGGUGGAGAUUUUAAUCUCAUCAGAGUAGCUGGGGAGAAAAGUACAGGUUUGAUUAACCAUCAUUGGGCUGACUUGUUCAAUGAUUGGGUCAACAAGUAUGGCCUCAUAGAACUAAAGAAUGCAGGUAGAAAGUUUACUUGGGCUAAUAACCAGGAUGACCUUGUUAUGGCUACUUUAGACAGGAUUUUUAUUUCAGUAGAUUGGAACAGACUAUUCCCUGCUUGCCAUGUUAAGGCCUUGCCUAGAGUUGGUAGUGAUCAUACUCCUUUAGUAUUAGACACUGCUGCUUUACAUAUUCCCACUGAUAAAAUGUUUAGAUUUGAAAAAUGGUGGCUGGAAAUUCCUAGCUUUGAUGAUGUUAUUCAUAAAGCCUGGAACACCAAAUGUCCUGACAGCAAAGCUAUUGAUGUUUAUCAAUUUAAGAUUCGUGUAAUCAGGAAAGCUGCUAAGGGCUGGUGUGCUAAUUAUGAGGUUUCCCAGAAUAAUGUGAAACAAGCUCUAGUGGUUGAAUAUAAAUGCUUAGAUAUUUUGGCUGAAUCUCAGCCUCUUUCUCCUAACUCUAAACAUAAGAUGAAAAAAAUGCAGGGGAUUUGA